GUAAGUAUGAGAACUGCUCUGCAUUGAAUA
Molecule: non-coding RNA, 30 nt
Filed under: Cricetulus griseus (Chinese hamster)
Lineage: Eukaryota; Metazoa; Chordata; Mammalia; Rodentia; Cricetidae
Source: RNAcentral